Molecule: ribosomal RNA, 272 nt
Filed under: Escherichia coli
Lineage: Bacteria; Pseudomonadati; Pseudomonadota; Gammaproteobacteria; Enterobacterales; Enterobacteriaceae
Description: partial 16S ribosomal RNA
Rfam family: Bacterial small subunit ribosomal RNA
Source: RNAcentral
AAAUUGAAGAGUUUGAUCAUGGCUCAGAUUGAACGCUGGCGGCAGGCCUAACACAUGCAAGUCGAACGGUAACAGGAAGCAGCUUGCUGCUUCGCUGACGAGUGGCGGACGGGUGAGUAAUGUCUGGGAAACUGCCUGAUGGAGGGGGAUAACUACUGGAAACGGUAGCUAAUACCGCAUAACGUCGCAAGACCAAAGAGGGGGACCUUCGGGCCUCUUGCCAUCGGAUGUGCCCAGAUGGGAUUAGCUAGUAGGUGGGGUAACGGCUGACC